CUCAAAGCUUCUAAGAUGUUUUCAUGUUGUGGUGUUUGUAUCUCUAGCACACUAAUUUUUACUGAUAACAUUAUUUACAAUAGAAUAUUACAUAUCUAUACUGUUACUAGGCAUCAUGGUUAUUUCCAUUUUUCUCCUAUUGUAAACAGUGCUGCCAUGAAGAAUCUUGAACAUGUCUCUGCAGAGUUUCUGUAGAGUAUAUGCAUAAGAGUGAAAUUGAUAGCUCAAGGGUGUACAUCAUUACAUUUCGACUUCUACGUGGACUGCAUUGUGUUCACCACCAAAAGUCUAGUUUCCAU
RNAcentral lists this long non-coding RNA (299 nucleotides) under Equus caballus (horse). RNAcentral's name for it is "lncRNA (ENSECAG00000053186.1)". Lineage: Eukaryota; Metazoa; Chordata; Mammalia; Perissodactyla; Equidae. The record is from RNAcentral.